Molecule: long non-coding RNA, 2591 nt
Filed under: Marmota monax (woodchuck)
Lineage: Eukaryota; Metazoa; Chordata; Mammalia; Rodentia; Sciuridae
Source: RNAcentral
CGUGCUUUCGUUUUGUGCUUUGGAAACUAGACUCUCUACCUUUACUUUUGAAACAUUGGUGCUGGUUACUUUGUUUGGCAAAAGCUGGGGAGGCAUUUAAUCUUGGAUCGGUGGUAAAACACUGAUAUUUUUUAUUCUUAGUCUAUUUUAUACUGAUUUUUCUUAACUGUUUUUCAAAUGUUGUCCUCUCAGAAGGGGUUCUACUAAAGGUAGAAUCUGUACAAUUAAGGAAAUAGGGCCUAGAGAACAAGCCUCUUGAUGUGCGCCCUAAUGCCAAAGUUCAGGGUAAACAUCUGAGAUGAGAAAGAGCAUUCACCUAAGAAUCUAGCUGAGUCCCAGAAACAAGCCAAGCAGUAAACAGCACCAAAAAGAGUUGUUGGGGACUUCAUCUGUUUGCUGUGGAUCCCUGAUCCUUGAUGCUAAUCUACCUCUUCUUCCUAUUAACCCUGAAAAGAAGCCAAAUUCACAGGCUGUAGUGCCUGGCUCUGUUUUAUCAUUUCCUGCUGCUGCCUCUUUAUUUCCUCUUCCUUUCUCCCAGAUUGUUACCUAGAUUGAUGCCCGUCUUUCUCACCUAGAGUACCCUUACUUUUUAUACAGAUGACUACCAUCGUUUCUGCUCUGUUCUGGAUCUGCCCCUUCCUGGGGAACCCAGCACCCACUCUCGCUCUGGAUUCUAUUGGUCAGCCUGGCUGGUCCCCAAGGCAUCAGGGUGCAGGGGACACAAAGCAACUUAUGUACUCUAUUCUACCCCCACCUCAAAUUAAAAUGCUAAGCUGCUGAAAGCCUCAUGCCACCCUGCAUUUGUGUCAUUGACAAAGCUGCUGCAAAACGUUGGGGGUGUGAUGUGGAGAACAGCUAUCAUAGGCUCCCCCUCCGUUGACUCAGUAGAAUCAAAGCCACUUUUGUAUCUAUUUUUUCCUGACAUUUAAGCCUGCCUUAUUGGAGUCUGUCAGAGUGGGAGGCUAAUAGAGGUUCCCUGGGUUAGGAAUUCUAGUGUUCUUGAGCUAAAUGAGACCAUCUGAAUCCUUCACUUCCAAGCUCUUAAAUCAUCUGCUUAGACUGUUUCCAUUCCCUCUUUAGGUUCUCCUCCUUUGACACAGUAAGGUUGAAAGACCAUCACACAUGCUUUAUCCUUUUCUCAGUGGUUCAGAAUGCAUCCUCAGACACCCAGUGGAUCUGUGUACGUCACUACUAAAAUUGACUAAUUGUUUCAUCCCUACUCAGAAGAACACACAAUGGAUUGAAUUCUCAACAGCUUUGCAUUUUCUUUAAACCUUUCUUACAUAUUUGAGGCCUGCUAGCAUGUGCUAGUGGGAUAUAAGACAAUGGUAAAUUAUUAUUGGAAAGACUAACACAAACAAUUAUUCAUAUUUCAAAUAAUGUGCAUGUGAGGGUAAUGAUUUAUUAUAUACAUAAAUCUCAAAAAAUUGUUCCUGGUUCAUAUCAUAGAAAUUAAAUAUCAACAUUUCAGUUAACAAUUUACACAGCAGAGAUAAUUCAGUCUGAAUAGUGUAGCUACCAGUUGUACUAAUCAAGCAUUUAAGUAUUGUUCAUGUAAUCUUGAAGUUUCUUAACAGAAUAGAUAUUUGAAACUUGUUUUUAUUUUAAGUAGAUACGGCCAGGUGGAAAAGUUUUCUCUAGUUUUAAAACUUCAAGUUUCAUGUCAUAUUUAGUUUUCUUUCUGUCAAUACCAUUUCUUCUGCCACUAGAUUGAUUUAUCCAGCAGACACAUUGGUAUUUUCUAGAUGUAGGGUUAGGGUGAGGACACAAAGAUGGAGUCACCAUCCCCAGUCUCAGGUUGUUUGAACUCUAGUAAUAGAAAGAAAACACGCAUAAAGAUGAGUGCCAUAGAUAAUAAAGUCUGCGGGUGUUCAGAGGUGGGAAGAGAUUGAUUCCAGUGGGAAUGAUUUGGUUAGUAAAGACUCAUGAUAGAAGGCACACAGUUGAUACUGAAUAAACAUGUUCAAACUUACCUCUUGGGGCCUGAGGCUGUAGCUCAUUGGUAGAGUGCUUGCCAAUGUGUGAGCACUGGGUUUGCUUCUCAGCACCUCAUAUAAAUAGAUAGAUAGGUCACUAUCCACUGACAACUUAAAAAAAAAUGCCUCUUCAUUUUCACUGGGUUCCAAAAGAUUGGAUUUUUGCUGGGUAGGUGGCACAUGCCUAUAAUCCCAGCAGCUCAGGAGGCUGAGACAGGAGGAUCAUGAGUUCAAAGCCAGCCUCAAGCAGAAAGCAAGGCUCUAAGCACCUCAGUGAGACCUUGUCUCUAAGUAAAAUAUAGAAUAGGGCUGGGGAUGUGGCUCAGUGGUUGAGUGCCUCUGAGUUCAAUCCCUAAUACCUGCCCCCCCAAAAAAUAAAAAUGAUGACUUUCAAUUCUCAGUCAUUUGCAUACCAUUUUUAUGACAUUUGCCAUAUUUGCAUGUUGCCUACUUUAUUAUUCAAAUCUACUCUUGUUUUUAAGUUUGGUGCAUUCUUACUCUACACAAUUGUUUUGAAAUUAAAAGGUUUAAUGUGCUAAUGUCUUUUCCUAAUGCACAUUAAAAAGGGAAGGAAAAAAAAACCAUAGCUCCAGAGACUUGGGAGGCUGAGGCAGG